GAUGAACGCUGGCGGGCGUGCCUCAAACAUGCAAGUCGAGCGAGGCUAUGAGUUACCGCAAGGUAAGGCAUAGCCUAGCGGCGAACGGGUGAGUAACACGUGGGUAACCUACCUGGAAGACAGGGAUAACGAUUCGAAAGGGGUCGCUAAUACCUGAUAAUAUCCAUCUGCCGGAUGGCGGAGGGAAGAAAGGGGAAACCCGCUUUCAGAUGGGCCCGCGUCCCAUCAGCUAGUUGGUAAGGUAAAGGCUUACCAAGGCGACGACGGGUAGCCGGUCUGAGAGGAUGUACGGCCACACUGGGACUGAGAUACGGCCCAGACUCCUACGGGAGGCAGCAGUUGGGAAUCUUAGGCAAUGGACGAAAGUCUGACCUAGCGACGCCGCGUGAGGGAAGAAGGCCUUCGGGUUGUAAACCUCUGUCAUGGGGGAAGAAGGAAGUGACGGUACCCCAAGAGGAAGCCCCUGCUAACUACGUG
Molecule: ribosomal RNA, 477 nt
Filed under: uncultured bacterium
Lineage: Bacteria
Description: bacterial SSU rRNA
Rfam family: Bacterial small subunit ribosomal RNA
Source: RNAcentral